Molecule: ribosomal RNA, 253 nt
Filed under: uncultured bacterium
Lineage: Bacteria
Description: partial 16S ribosomal RNA
Rfam family: Bacterial small subunit ribosomal RNA
Source: RNAcentral
UACGUAGGGUCCGAGCGUUGUCCGGAAUUAUUGGGCGUAAAGGGCUCGUAGGCGGUUUGUCGCGUCGGGAGUGAAAACACGGGGCUUAACCCCGUGCCUGCUUCCGAUACGGGCAGACUAGGGGUAUGCAGGGGAGAACGGAAUUCCUGGUGUAGCGGUGAAAUGCGCAGAUAUCAGGAGGAACACCGGUGGCGAAGGCGGUUCUCUGGGCAUUACCUGACGCUGAGGAGCGAAAGCGUGGGGAGCGAACAGG